RNAcentral lists this ribosomal RNA (547 nucleotides) under Botryosphaeria dothidea. Its description in RNAcentral is "partial large subunit ribosomal RNA". It matches the Rfam family "Eukaryotic large subunit ribosomal RNA", at positions 69 to 528 of the family's 3401-position model. The record is from RNAcentral. Lineage: Eukaryota; Fungi; Ascomycota; Dothideomycetes; Botryosphaeriales; Botryosphaeriaceae.
CAUCGAUGCCGUUACAAACGGCGAGUGAGCGGCACAGCUCAAAUUUGAAAGCUGGCUCCUUUGGAGUCCGCGUUGUAAUUUGUAGAGGAUGAUUCGGCAAGGGCUCCCGCCUAAGUCUCCUGGAACGGAGCGUCAUAGAGGGUGAGAAUCCCGUAUGCGGUGGGCUGCCUAAGCCAUGUGAAUCUCCUUCGACAAGUCAAGUUGUUUGGAAUGCCACCCUAAAUGGGGGGGGAAUAUUUUUUCUAAAGAAAAAAACCGGCCCAAAAACCCAUAGCCCCCAAAGGGGGGUGAAAAAAAAAAACUUUUUUGAAAAAAAAAAAAAACCCCAUUUUUUUUUGGGGGGGGGUUUUGAUAAAAUUUGUUUGGCCCGCAUCGCUCACCGGCCUCCUAACGGGGUACUCUUCGGCGGCCAGCCAGCAUCGUUCGGCGGUCGAAAAGACUCGGGAUGUAGCUCUCUCGGAGGUAUAGCCGGGUGGAUGCGCCAGCCUGACUGAGAUCUCGCUCGGCUAGAUGCUGCGUAUGCUGUAGCGCCGUCUGACCACGCACA